CAUGGUUGUCGUCAGCUCGUGUCGUGAGAUGUUGGGUUAAGUCCCGCAACGAGCGCAACCCUUACCUUCAGUAGCCAGCACGUAAUGGUGGGCACUCUGGAGGGACUGCCGGGGACAACCCGGAGGAAGGUGGGGACGACGUCAAAUCAUCAUGCCCCUUAUGGCCUGGGCUACACACGUGCUACAAUGGCGUAAACAGAGGGAGGCAGCCCCGCGAGGGUGAGCAAACCCCAAAAAUAACGUCCCAGUUCGGAUUGCAGUCUGCAACUCGACUGCAUGAAGCUGGAAUCGCUAGUAAUCGCGGAUCAGAAUGCCGCGGUGAAUACGUUCCCGGGUCUUGUACACACCGCCCGUCACACCAUGGGAGUUGGUAACGCCCGAAGUCAGUGACCUAACCGAAAGGGAGGAGCUGCCGAAGGUGGGACCAGUGACUGGGGUGAAGUCGUAACAAGGUAGCCGUAUCGGAAGGUGCGGCUGGAUCACCUC
This 486-nucleotide ribosomal RNA is filed under the name uncultured bacterium. Its description in RNAcentral is "bacterial SSU rRNA". It matches the Rfam family "Bacterial small subunit ribosomal RNA", at positions 1044 to 1529 of the family's 1533-position model. The record is from RNAcentral.